GUGCUUGCUUCGGCAGCACAUAUACUAAAAAAAUAGGAACGAUACAGAGAGGAUUAGCAUUGCCCCUGCGCAAGGAUGGCAUGCAAAUUCGUAAAGCAUUCCACAUUUUU
Molecule: small nuclear RNA, 110 nt
Organism: Delphinapterus leucas (beluga whale)
Lineage: Eukaryota; Metazoa; Chordata; Mammalia; Artiodactyla; Monodontidae
Source: Ensembl